Non-coding RNA from Parelaphostrongylus tenuis, 73 nucleotides. Lineage: Eukaryota; Metazoa; Nematoda; Chromadorea; Rhabditida; Metastrongylidae. The record is from the annotation of a GenBank genome assembly.
GCCUCGGUGGUGUAGUGGUAGAGCACGCGUCCUCGAUAUGGAUGGAACGCGGGUUCGAUUUACGACAGAGACC